Long non-coding RNA from Mauremys mutica (yellowpond turtle), 1006 nucleotides. RefSeq lists it as uncharacterized. The record is from RefSeq and is a predicted model, not a curated record. The transcript has 3 exons. NCBI's taxonomy places the organism in Eukaryota, Metazoa, Chordata, Testudines, Geoemydidae.
GAUUGGGACAUGGUAUGCCUGGAGAAGAGAAGUAAUGGUAGUGUGGUGCUAAGCUCUCUGGUAGAGUAAGGGGCUAGGUGGUCAGGGAAGCAGACCUGGGGUUACUGCUCAAAGAAGGGUAUAGAGCUGACUAGAAGUGGGAAGCUACCAGGAGUAGAAGCACCUGAGACUCUUGGGAAGGGUGGUCCUAAAACCUGAGAGAAAAGGAAUGAGUUUCUGUUUGUUUGCUUGCCUGUUUUAAGAGGAUAAACCUUCUGAAAGGAGACUGGACAUGCCAGUGGGUGUUUGGAAGCUGCUGGAAGAACUCUUCUGGUGGUCUGAGCUGAAAGGCAGAGCUCAGUCCUGAAGACUCCAGCAAUAACAUUGGAUCGCCUCCGAAUUCCAUGAGUAAAGAAUUUGGAGAGAAACUGCUAAUAGAAACAAAAUGAUUAGGUAGCCUGCUACAGUAUCCACAUCCACUGCAAAAGGUCAGACUCUCUCUCUUUUUCUCAUUCCACUUUUCUGGAAAAUCCCAACAAGUUGAUAACCUUCAAAACACUUCAAAAAUACACUAACCAGUCUAUUAUUUUCCCAUCUUGUCACGGCCAAAGACAAAGGAAAAUUGCUGCUAGGAAGGCUGGGAUUAGUUUCUGAUACUUUAUCAUGAAGGGCAGUGCAAUAUGACCAUAGGGGAACUAUGGAAAUGACCCUUCCAGAAUUUUUCUUGAGCUAUUUCCUUGAAGACCCCAAAGGAUAAAGCAGUGGCUGUCUAUCCUAAAAUCUAAUGAAGCCAUGAAGCGCAAGAAAUGAAAUGUAAAGAACCAGGGAAGAUUACUAUAUUGACCAUUUCAGCCACAAACUUGCUGUUGACAAUGACAACAGAUGGCAGGAUCCAGUUUGGAUAAAAUAGGAUCUCACCUAAACUUUCACCCAAAACUUAAAUCAAUUUUUUUGUAUGAAGUUCAAAGUUCAAAAAGUGUCUUUUUCUUUAUUUAUUUGUUUUCCAGUUUUAGGCAGAUCUAUUAUU